AUUUCUGACGUAACGAACCAGCGACAACUCGAGCUGACUUCCUGCUUUGAGGCUAGGAAGAGUGCUCGAUAGCCUUCCACAUAUUUUCCAAAAAUUACUCUGAGCUUUCAGACUCUGGUCCAAGCUGCUGUGCAGAUUAUAUUGAACUCAACAUGUACUACUCCUGCUCCACAAAGAUUCUAGAUUUUUCCAAAUUAAAGCAUUAGAAGAGGAUGGAUUGGGACUAGGAUUAGGAUAUGGAUUCUAUACAAUUUUUUUGUGUGCAAUUUAAAAGCAUUAGAAGAGGACGGACUAGGAUUUGGAUUAGGAUACGGAUUCUAUAACUUUUUUUGAUUAAUUUAAAGCAUUAGAAGAGGAUGGACUAGGAUUGGGACUAGGAUUAGGAUACGGAUAAUCUCCACCAUUGUUCUUGGAAUCGAUCAGUGAGUUUGAAGCCUGCAGGUGCCUUCGGUUUAUUUUAGCAGGGCCUAACCAAUACCAACAAUGACUGAUGGAAGGAUCUACGUGGGAAAUCUUCCAAUGGACGCCCAGGAGAAGGACAUAGAGGAUCUCUUCUUCAAAUAUGGAAAAAUCCGGGAUAUCGAACUAAAGAAUAACAGGGGAACCAUCCCUUUUGCUUUUGUUCGCUUCGAUGAUCCACGGGAUGCGGAAGACGCGGUCUAUGGAAGGAAUGGAUAUGGAUUCGGAGACUCCAAGCUGCGUGUAGAAUACCCUCGCUCCUCUGGCGCCAAAUUUAGUGGCCCUAUGGGAGAAGGAGGUCCUAGGGGGAGGUUUGGGCCCCCAACUCGGAGAUCUGAGUUCCGGGUGAUAGUGACUGGUAGGUGGACGUUCUGAGUCGUAGGAAGUGUUAUUUUUGUCUCUCUCUCUCUUGGCGGACUGGAAGUCAAGGGGACUAAGUGGAGGUCAAGUCAGCUGCCCAAAACAAACACGAGCGAAACAAUAAAAUCUCAAACUGAUCAUGUUGACUGCAUAAACCCAAACACCUGGCCAUAGUGACUGGCUUGCCCCAAACCGGGAGCUGGCAGGAUCUGAAAGACCACAUGCGUGAGGCAGGGGAUGUUUGUUUCGCCGACGUGCAGCGAGAUGGUGAAGGAGUGGUGGAGUUUGUUCGUCGGGAAGACAUGGAAUACGCCCUGCGCAGACUGGACGGGACUGAGUUCCGUUCCCAUCAGGGGGAGACGGCAAACAUUCGUGUCCACGGAGAACGUGGUGCCAGUUACGGUCGCUCGCGGUCUCGCUCCAGAUCCCCCCGAGGGCGUGGCUACUCACCACCUCCUUACCAAAGCAGAGGGUCCCCUCCACAGCGCUACCAGUCACCCCCACGCCGCCUUGUGUCACGCCAUAGCCCCCCAGCAAGGCGACACCCAGUACCGUACCAUAGCCCGCCCCCACGCCACUAUCGAUAGACCAGCUAGCCAUUCACAAGAGGGCACUGAUUAGGCGCAGUUUAAUUAUUAUUUUUAUCCCAGAUCUCAAAUAAUUGUCCCCCUUUUGCUUGCUAUGUACAUUCCUUUGUCACCCCUGCCCUCCUGUUGGCCUUAAUAUUGUUGAUUUCCUUAAGCUUCAGCUCCCCAUGUCAGGUCACUAGUCAGCUCAGUUCUGAUGUCUGGUGAGACCAUUUGUUAACAUGCCAAUUAACUGGUCUUGCUGCUCAAGUACAAGUAUGAACAUUAUCAGUUUGAUGAACACUGCCCUGAGAAGUGCGACACCCAACAAAAACUAAAUGUGAACAUCUGCCUGCAUCGUCUAUUCCUUUUAAAUGAAUUGUAAGUGUGUGUGAACCUCUAAGAAUGAAUGAAUAUGUUUGGAAAUUGAUUUUGAUUGUAAUCUGGUAAACCUCUGUGAAAAUCCCAUGUUUUAUUUUAAAGAAAUAUUGAACUUUAGCCAGUUCAUUCCUCUGUUUUUGUAACCUGUGGUGUCUAUAUGCAAGCAUUUUGUUUUCAAUUAAAACACUGAAACAAACCCAA
Oncorhynchus kisutch (coho salmon) is the source of this 1967-nucleotide RNA transcript. It is a transcript of the gene named serine/arginine-rich splicing factor 9-like, with no coding region annotated. The transcript has 5 exons. The record is from RefSeq and is a predicted model, not a curated record. NCBI's taxonomy places the organism in Eukaryota, Metazoa, Chordata, Actinopteri, Salmoniformes, Salmonidae.